UACGGGGGGGGCAAGCGUUGUUCGGAAUUACUGGGCGUAAAGGGCUCGUAGGCGGCCAACUAAGUCAUACGUGAAAUCCCUCAGCUUAACCGGGGAACUGCGUCUGAUACUGGAUGGCUUGAGUGUGGGAGAGGGAUGCGGAAUUCCAGGUGUAGCGGUGAAAUGCGUAGAUAUCUGGAGGAACACCGGUGGCGAAGGCGGCAUCCUGGACCAUUACUGACGCUGAGUGAGCGAAAGCCAGGGGAGCAAACGGG
This 254-nucleotide ribosomal RNA is filed under the name uncultured bacterium. RNAcentral describes it as "partial 16S ribosomal RNA". It matches the Rfam family "Bacterial small subunit ribosomal RNA", at positions 524 to 776 of the family's 1533-position model. The record is from RNAcentral.